UUUCCUCUGAUUACUAAUUUUAGAGGUUCACUGAGUAUUUUGAGAGAUCUAUAAACUUAUGAAUGACCCUGAUUUAAUGUUGUUUGAAGUAUGUAUUUCUUGUUACUCACUCUAUUCCUCUGAAGACAUGAUUUUCCAUUUUUUUGUUCCCAAAGCCUCCCGAUUUUCCUUAUCUAAUAAAAUAGCUUUCUUUGCAGCUUUUGUUUUUCUUUUCAUUUUGCAGGAGAAAAUACAAGAAAGGCAGAUAUUUUGAGGAAUUUAAUUUUAUCUACACCUUAC
Molecule: long non-coding RNA, 279 nt
Filed under: Solanum tuberosum (potato)
Lineage: Eukaryota; Viridiplantae; Streptophyta; Magnoliopsida; Solanales; Solanaceae
Description: long non-coding RNA (STUB_LNC005664)
Source: RNAcentral